AUUGAACGCUGGCGGCAUGCUUUACGCAUGCAAGUCGAACGGCAGCGCGGGCUUCGGCCUGGCGGCGAGUGGCGAACGGGUGAGUAAUGCAUCGGAACGUGCCCAGUAGUGGGGGAUAGCCCGGCGAAAGCCGGAUUAAUACCGCAUACGACCUGAGGGUGAAAGCGGGGGACCGAAAGGCCUCGCGCUAUUGGAGCGGCCGAUGUCGGAUUAGCUAGUUGGUGGGGUAAAGGCUUACCAAGGCGACGAUCCGUAGCUGGUCUGAGAGGACGACCAGCCACACUGGGACUGAGACACGGCCCAGACUCCUACGGGAGGCAGCAGUGGGGAAUUUUGGACAAUGGGGGCAACCCUGAUCCAGCCAUGCCGCGUGCGGGAAGAAGGCCUUCGGGUUGUAAACCGCUUUUGUUCGGGAAGAAAUCCUCUGGGCUAAUACCCCGGGGGGAUGACGGUACCGGAAGAAUGAGCACCGGCUAACUACGUG
Molecule: ribosomal RNA, 484 nt
Filed under: uncultured bacterium
Lineage: Bacteria
Description: partial 16S ribosomal RNA
Rfam family: Bacterial small subunit ribosomal RNA
Source: RNAcentral